CUGGCCAGCUGCUUGUUCUUCCAGUACAGGAACAGGAAAAUGUCAGCUUGAGAAUCCAGCAGCUACAGAAAACUGGGUCAGGUCAUGACUGUCUUGCUUCAUUUCUGAGUCUCACUGCUGAGGAAAGUUCCCUGUUGUCAGUGUGGAGACCAGGAGAGGUAAAAGGUAAGAGGUGUCUCUCUUUUUUUUUGUAUUGCUCACUUGUUCCUAACAACUCCUCCAAGCAAUACUUCUA
RNAcentral lists this long non-coding RNA (235 nucleotides) under Chloebia gouldiae (Gouldian finch). RNAcentral describes it as "Erythrura gouldiae (Gouldian finch) lncRNA (ENSEGOG00005016101.1)". The record is from RNAcentral. Lineage: Eukaryota; Metazoa; Chordata; Aves; Passeriformes; Passeridae.